Non-coding RNA from Populus trichocarpa (black cottonwood), 168 nucleotides. NCBI's taxonomy places the organism in Eukaryota, Viridiplantae, Streptophyta, Magnoliopsida, Malpighiales, Salicaceae. The record is from Rfam.
UAAUCUAUCUGGGCCAGAUCCUUAUCUAGUUGUGAUAGACCUACACCUGACUGCCCAGAAUCACCGGUUAUCGCAAGCCCAACUACAUCAUUCUCCCUAGGUUGGAGAGAGCUCGUCCUCGUGUUAUGUUCCUCCCCAAAUAAGAAGUCAAGUGGUGGACAUUAAAGA